Molecule: long non-coding RNA, 464 nt
Filed under: Androctonus crassicauda
Lineage: Eukaryota; Metazoa; Arthropoda; Arachnida; Scorpiones; Buthidae
Source: RNAcentral
UUUGACCAUAUUUAUACAGGGAAAUCAUUAUUUUUAUAUAGUGACAAACAUGCUAGAUACAUUUUACACUAGAAUUGAAUCGAACAUCAUAAACAAUUUUUCGUCCUUAUGUUUACAUUGUGUUGUGAUAUUAUCAUAGCGUCGUCGCCAAGGCAACACCACUCUUAUUUAUUACUAAAAAAUCACCGCUUAUAUUUAUUAUUCAUUCUGAGUUACUCUACAUACGCAUACACCACAAUAUCUACAGACCAUUCAUUUCAGAAACCCGUGUACCACACCAUUCCCAGUCACGUGCCUGCCAACACUCCGUCACGUGACUUUGCGUGUCAAGUCUGUCCGAAAUAUCAAACUUCCAACAAAAAAUAAACAGAAGUAUAAUGUUACUCGACGAUAACUGAAUUGAAUUAAAGAACAUGAAAAGUAAAUCGAAUACUUUUUGACAUAUGACCAUAAGGAUGUCCUCC